Molecule: ribosomal RNA, 548 nt
Filed under: uncultured Polaribacter sp.
Lineage: Bacteria; Pseudomonadati; Bacteroidota; Flavobacteriia; Flavobacteriales; Flavobacteriaceae
Description: bacterial SSU rRNA
Rfam family: Bacterial small subunit ribosomal RNA
Source: RNAcentral
CGUAUAGAACCUACCUUUUACAGAGGAAUAGCCUUUAGAAAUGAAGAUUAAUGCCUCAUAGUAUUGUAGACUGGCAUCAGUUUAUAAUUAAAGAUUUAUCGGUAAAAGAUGGCUAUGCGUCCUAUUAGUUAGUUGGUAAGGUAACGGCUUACCAAGACAGCGAUAGGUAGGGGUCCUGAGAGGGAGAUCCCCCACACUGGUACUGAGACACGGACCAGACUCCUACGGGAGGCAGCAGUGAGGAAUAUUGGACAAUGGAGGAGACUCUGAUCCAGCCAUGCCGCGUGUAGGAAGAAUGCCCUAUGGGUUGUAAACUACUUUUAUACAGGAAGAAACACUGGUAUGUAUACCAGCUUGACGGUACUGUAAGAAUAAGGACCGGCUAACUCCGUGCCAGCAGCCGCGGUAAUACGGAGGGUCCGAGCGUUAUCCGGAAUCAUUGGGUUUAAAGGGUCCGCAGGCGGUCGAUUAAGUCAGAGGUGAAAUCCCAUAGCUCAACUAUGGAACUGCCUUUGAUACUGGUUGACUUGAGUCAUAUGGAAGUAGAU